AGGACGAACGCUGGCGGCGUGCUUAACACAUGCAAGUCGAGCGGAAAGGCCCUUCGGGGUACUCGAGCGGCGAACGGGUGAGUAACACGUGGGCAACCUGCCCCUAGCUCUGGGAUAACUCCGGGAAACCGGUGCUAAUACCGGAUAUGACUUCCUCCGGCAUCUGAGGAAGUGGAAAGUUUUUCGGCUAGGGAUGGGCCCGCGGCCUAUCCAGCUU
Molecule: ribosomal RNA, 217 nt
Filed under: uncultured soil bacterium
Lineage: Bacteria
Description: partial 16S ribosomal RNA
Rfam family: Bacterial small subunit ribosomal RNA
Source: RNAcentral